This is a long non-coding RNA of Panthera uncia (snow leopard), 623 nucleotides long. RefSeq lists it as uncharacterized. The transcript has 3 exons. Lineage: Eukaryota; Metazoa; Chordata; Mammalia; Carnivora; Felidae. The record is from RefSeq and is a predicted model, not a curated record.
GGCGCGGUCGGGCGGGGUCAGCACGUCUGCGGCGACGGUGAUCCCGGCCUUGCCCCGCCGCCCCCCACAGCCUCGGCCCGGGCGUCGGGGCACCCACGACUGGCAAAGGCUCAGAUGAGCCCCCAUCUCCCCAGCUGACUCCAGGCCAACGUUUGUUGGUGUUCUCUGAGAACCCAUAGGGCGUGGCAGUGAGGCACAGCUGUGAGCAGGUACCUGCAGAGCAGGGUGGAUGGUGUGAAGAAAGGGGCUGGCUCAGAACUAGGCCUUCAGCUUGAAGGCCUCAAGGUGUCACACGCUAGAGGCGGAGGGAGAUUUGGCCCAGGAGAAGGCAACGUGACUGUGAAGCAAGAUGCUAGACUGCUGGCUUGGACGUUGGAGGAAGACGCCAUGAGCCUAGGAGCGCCAGGAACAGAGCACUGGAGGCUGGAAAUGCGAGGUGAGGACACACCCUCUAGAGCCUCCACAGGGAGUGUGGCUGAACCAACACAGGGAACUCAGCCCAGUGACACUGAUUUUGGACUUCUGAACUCUGGAGCUGUGAGAGAAUAAAUGUGUGUUGUUUUAAGCCACCAACUUUGUGGUAUCUUGUUAGAGCAGUCAUAGAAAAUGAACACAGUAUCUCU